Molecule: ribosomal RNA, 484 nt
Filed under: uncultured bacterium
Lineage: Bacteria
Description: partial 16S ribosomal RNA
Rfam family: Bacterial small subunit ribosomal RNA
Source: RNAcentral
AUCGAACGCUGGCGGCAUGCUUUACACAUGCAAGUCGAACGGCAGCGCGGGCUUCGGCCUGGCGGCGAGUGGCGAACGGGUGAGUAAUACAUCGGAACGUGCCCAGUAGUGGGGGAUAGCUCGGCGAAAGCCGGAUUAAUACCGCAUACGACCUGAGGGUGAAAGCGGGGGAUCUUCGGACCUCGCGCUAUUGGAGCGGCCGAUGGCAGAUUAGCUAGUUGGUGGGGUAAAGGCCUACCAAGGCGACGAUCUGUAGCUGGUCUGAGAGGACGACCAGCCACACUGGGACUGAGACACGGCCCAGACUCCUACGGGAGGCAGCAGUGGGGAAUUUUGGACAAUGGGCGAAAGCCUGAUCCAGCAAUGCCGCGUGUGUGAUGAAGGCCUUCGGGUUGUAAAGCACUUUUGGCGGGAACGAAAAGGACUGUGCCAAUACCACGGUUCGAUGACGGUACCCGCAGAAUAAGCACCGGCUAACUACGUG